RNAcentral lists this ribosomal RNA (103 nucleotides) under Sinocyclocheilus anshuiensis. Lineage: Eukaryota; Metazoa; Chordata; Actinopteri; Cypriniformes; Cyprinidae. The record is from RNAcentral.
AACCACAGCCAUAUCACCCUGCAGCUCACUGAAACUAAGCAGGGUUGAGCCUGGUCAGUACCUGGAUGGGAGACCUCCUGGGAAAACUAGGUUGCUGUUGGAA